Molecule: ribosomal RNA, 637 nt
Filed under: Mycobacterium sp. Se2Ps_2216
Lineage: Bacteria; Bacillati; Actinomycetota; Actinomycetes; Mycobacteriales; Mycobacteriaceae
Also listed under: 1 other name
Description: bacterial SSU rRNA
Rfam family: Bacterial small subunit ribosomal RNA
Source: RNAcentral
GCAGCCUGAUGCAGCGACGCCGCGUGAGGGAUGACGGCCUUCGGGUUGUAAACCUCUUUCAGUAGGGACGAAGCGCAAGUGACGGUACCUAUAGAAGAAGGACCGGCCAACUACGUGCCAGCAGCCGCGGUAAUACGUAGGGUCCGAGCGUUGUCCGGAAUUACUGGGCGUAAAGAGCUCGUAGGUGGUUUGUCGCGUUGUUCGUGAAAACUCACAGCUCAACUGUGGGCGUGCGGGCGAUACGGGCAGACUAGAGUACUGCAGGGGAGACUGGAAUUCCUGGUGUAGCGGUGGAAUGCGCAGAUAUCAGGAGGAACACCGGUGGCGAAGGCGGGUCUCUGGGCAGUAACUGACGCUGAGGAGCGAAAGCGUGGGGAGCGAACAGGAUUAGAUACCCUGGUAGUCCACGCCGUAAACGGUGGGUACUAGGUGUGGGUUUCCUUCCUUGGGAUCCGUGCCGUAGCUAACGCAUUAAGUACCCCGCCUGGGGAGUACGGCCGCAAGGCUAAAACUCAAAGAAAUUGACGGGGGCCCGCACAAGCGGCGGAGCAUGUGGAUUAAUUCGAUGCAACGCGAAGAACCUUACCUGGGUUUGACAUGCACAGGACGUGCCUAGAGAUAGGUAUUCCCUUGUGGU